Molecule: ribosomal RNA, 497 nt
Filed under: uncultured bacterium
Lineage: Bacteria
Description: partial 16S ribosomal RNA
Rfam family: Bacterial small subunit ribosomal RNA
Source: RNAcentral
GAUGAACGCUGGCGGCGUGCCUAAUACAUGCAAGUCGAGCGAACGGACGAGAAGCUUGCUUCUCUGAUGUUAGCGGCGGACGGGUGAGUAACACGUGGAUAACCUACCUAUAAGACUGGGAUAACUUCGGGAAACCGGAGCUAAUACCGGAUAAUAUUUUGAACCGCAUGGUUCAAAAGUGAAAGACGGUCUUGCUGUCACUUAUAGAUGGAUCCGCGCUGCAUUAGCUAGUUGGUAAGGUAACGGCUUACCAAGGCAACGAUGCAUAGCCGACCUGAGAGGGUGAUCGGCCACACUGGAACUGAGACACGGUCCAGACUCCUACGGGAGGCAGCAGUAGGGAAUCUUCCGCAAUGGGCGAAAGCCUGGCGGAGCAACGCCGCGUGAGUGAUGAAGGUCUUCGGAUCGUAAAACUCUGUUAUUAGGGAAGAACAUAUGUGUAAGUAACUGUGCACAUCUUGACGGUACCUAAUCAGAAAGCCACGGCCAACUACGUG